ACUAGUAUGAACGGCUAAAUGAGGACUUAACUGUCUCCUGAAUUUGACCAAUGAAACUGAUCUUUCAGUCCAAAAGCUGAAAUAUAAUCAUAAGACGAGAAGACCCUGUGGAGCUUUUAAACCCAGCCCACUAAAAUGCCUCCCCUGGGUUUUUGGUUGGGGCGACCUCGGAGAACAAAAAAACCUCCGACCAAGGAACUUUAUUCCAAAACAAGAUUAACAAAUCUGCAACUCUUGACCCAGGGCCAACACCAACUGAUCAACGAACCAAGUUACCCCAGGGAUAACAGCGCCAUCCUCUUUUAGAGUCCAUAUCGACAAGAGGGCUUACGACCUCGAUGUUGGAUCAGGACACCCCAAUAGUGCAGCAGCUAUUAAAG
RNAcentral lists this ribosomal RNA (380 nucleotides) under Latastia longicaudata. RNAcentral's name for it is "partial 16S ribosomal RNA". It matches the Rfam family "Archaeal large subunit ribosomal RNA", at positions 2063 to 2639 of the family's 2987-position model. Lineage: Eukaryota; Metazoa; Chordata; Lepidosauria; Squamata; Lacertidae. The record is from RNAcentral.